Long non-coding RNA from Neopsephotus bourkii (Bourke's parrot), 1301 nucleotides. RefSeq lists it as uncharacterized. Lineage: Eukaryota; Metazoa; Chordata; Aves; Psittaciformes; Psittacidae. The transcript has 2 exons. The record is from RefSeq and is a predicted model, not a curated record.
UCUUCUACUCUUGCCUGCCAGUGAAGGAGUCUAAAAAGUCUGUGGAACGGAGACCUAAUGGCAAACACAAAUGUGAUGCACCUGCAUCUAAAGGUGUAGAAUCAAACCAAGACAAGGUUUUACCAAGAAUAUCAAAGAAAUAAAUUGCAUACAUAUCUAAAAAUGAAAAACAUACCCCAAAUUUGCAAAAUACCUUUGAGCUGUUGAGAUUUUAUUGUUUUAUUCCUCAGUGAUAAUGUAGGUUUUUCAUCAAUGACAUACUCCAUUUUCAUCUUGGUUGAAAAUAGUAACAGGCAGAUUACCACUUCCAUCCCAGGACUUUCAAAGGCACAAAAGGAGGCUAAGGAAAAGAGGAGUUUCACCUUAUUCCUGAUCCACUGGAUGUGCAGUGCCUGCACAAAGAGGGAAUAUGCAGAAGUGACUCUUUGUAACCAGUGAAGACAAUACUGAUAAGGAAUUUUCAAAAUUAAUUUGCUUUUUGGUCUUGCUAGUCUAGAAGCAAGAUAAAAUUGCUGGAGGUUUAUUGGGUACCCUACUCUGUGCUAUUACAAACUCUUUGAGUGCUGAGGAGCAAAUCCUCAAAUGCACGCAUCAAACUGCACACUGCCAUCAUCAGACCCAGCACUCUACUUACAGAGCUAGCAGAAUUGCAUUUUGCAGGCCUGUACACCAAGAUGACACUGGGCCAGCCUGUCUAUUUGUGUUUGUUUAUUUAAUGUCCCUUGGGAAAGACAGGACUUCCUAUGGGAUAUGGCCAUGUGAGAAAGGGAAAGGGAGCUGUGUUAAGAAAAACACUAUAGAUGAGCACUUACUUGACUAUUUCAGCUGAACAUUUUCAGACAGCUCCCUUAAGUCACAGCUGUUUGUUACAAGUCAGAUUAUUUUUCCUUAUUGAAAGGCUCUAUGACAAAUCUGAAAGCAGCUUAAAUCUUAAUGCAAUAUUGAUAUAUCAUUUACAUGUUUUGUUUUCAGCAAACUCCAAGUAAGUCAGAGUCAAAUGGAGUGUUACUUCUGGAAAACAUUACCUGUUAAUUUAGUAUGGUAAUGUGGGAAGUUUUUUCCUGCAUGAAAAAAGAAAUCCUUUGUGCCAAAUGCAGUUAGAUCUUUUUCAGGUUUCGUAAGACCAACCAAAACUGAGAACUAUUUAUGUGAGAGUAAAGAAACCUGUAUAACAAGUAUCCCAUUGUUUUACUAGACAGAGAAACAAGAAUUUAUAGCAACCUAAGGCAUGAAUUAUGUAUCACUUACGGCUUAUGUAGUGGUGAUUUUGGAGAUAAAGGUUUUCCAUUAUUAAGUGCAAA